AGAGUUUGAUCCUGGCUCAGAGUGAACGCUGGCGGCGUGCUUAACACAUGCAAAGUCGAACGGAGUAAAAGUAGCUUGCUAUUUUACUUAGUGGCGCACGGGUGAGUAAUGUAUAGCUAACCUGCCCUUUAGUGGGGGACAACAGUUGGAAACGACUGCUAAUACCCCAUACUCCUUCUUAUCAUAAGGUAAGUUGGGAAAGAUUUAUUGCUAAAGGAUGGGGCUUUAUGGUAUCAGCUAGUUGGUGGGGUAAUGGCCUACCAAGGCGAUGACGCCUACCUGGUCUGAGAGGAUGAUCAGGCACACUGGAACUGAGACACGGUCCAGACUCCUACGGGAGGCAGCAGUGGGGAAUAUUGCACAAUGGGGGCAACCCUGACGCAGCGACGCCGCGUGGAUGAUGAAGGCCCUUGGGUCGUAAAGCUCUGUCAGAGGGGAAGAAGUGUAUGGAUGCUAAUACCAUCUUUACUUGACGGUACCCUCAAAGGAAGCACCGGCCAACUCCGUGCCAGCAGCCGCGGUAAUA
This 526-nucleotide ribosomal RNA is filed under the name bacterium enrichment culture clone Cont116_3130. Its description in RNAcentral is "bacterial SSU rRNA". It matches the Rfam family "Bacterial small subunit ribosomal RNA", at positions 8 to 525 of the family's 1533-position model. The record is from RNAcentral.